AGCGUAGGCGGCGUGGUAAGUCAGAUGUGAAAUCCCGGGGCUCAACCCCGGAACUGCAUCCGAUACUGCCAUGCUAGAGGAUUGGAGAGGUAGCUGGAAUUCUUGGUGUAGCAGUGAAAUGCGUAGAGAUCAAGAGGAACACUCGUGGCGAAAGCGAGCUACUGGACAAUUCCUGAUGCUGAGGCUCGAAGGCUAGGGUAAGCGAAAG
Molecule: ribosomal RNA, 208 nt
Filed under: uncultured bacterium
Lineage: Bacteria
Description: partial 16S ribosomal RNA
Rfam family: Bacterial small subunit ribosomal RNA
Source: RNAcentral